This 640-nucleotide long non-coding RNA is filed under the name Malus domestica (apple). RNAcentral describes it as "long non-coding RNA (MDOM_LNC015002)". Lineage: Eukaryota; Viridiplantae; Streptophyta; Magnoliopsida; Rosales; Rosaceae. The record is from RNAcentral.
UUGAUAGUUGGAGGGUGGUAGAGAACUCGGCAAAGAUGGUGGAAUAAGGUGGAGUGGCUGUUAUAUUUUCUGGGCACUAGAAUGGUGUUUUUGGGGUGUUUUGCUGCCUAGGGUGAGUAUGGACGAAUUUUCUGCAUGAAUGAUGAAUAUGGGAGGUUCAACCCUUUGCCAAGGGUUGUAAACAUGUAUAUAUAGGCCCCAAAAACCCUAGAGAAUCAGAUUAGGCAGUGGGGGAAAUGCACAACAAGGAGGGUGAAUUUGUGGUGUGCAAUGGUCCAAGGAUGAAAAUGGAGCAAUGAUGCAAAGUAUGGAGGGUAAAAUGGAGUGGUAUUUCAGCUAGGGAGCAUGAAUGAUUGUGUUCAUUGCAUGGAAAUGAAAAGGGGAGGUGAAAUGUUUUAGAAAUUAGUCAAAGGUGCAGCAACAUGUGUUGCACACGGCAUUGGAUCCCAAAUGUGGAUGAUGGAGCAUCAAUUGGUGCAUGGAAUGGUUAUGAAAGUAUGUGUGAAAUCUGAUGGGUGAAGGGAACAAGAGGUAUGCAGCAAUUGAGUGUGAUAAUUGAGUGUAGUGAGGCAUGAAAUCAGAAAUAUUUUAGGGGACAAGGAUGAUUAAGCAUGCAUGGGAAUCCAAAGGGAAUGCUAUG